AAGUCCAACAAUGUGGUUGUAUGAAAAGCCACAGGAAGACGGGCUCCAAGGGCACAGACCAUUUAUCAUGCUCAUGUUGCUGCUCCUUGGUACAUAGCUGCUCUGAAUGAGCAAACUCCACAGAAAAGAUGAAAUUUGAGGAUCUCUUGCUGGAAAUUGGGGGGUUUGGCAGGUUCCAGAUCUUGAUUUUGUUUAUCCUCUGCCUCCCAAGAAUCAACCUUCCUAUGCAUUUCCUGCUGCACAAUUUUCUUGCUGCUACCCCCUCUCAUCACUGUGCAAUUCCACACCAAGAGGCAUUUGUGAAUCUCACGAUGGAAGAAAUUCUGCUCAUCAGCAUCCCUCGGGAGCCCGAUGGCACUUUCAAGUCCUGUGAGAUGUUCUCACAGCCUCAGUUCCACCUGCUGCUCAACUCCUCUCUGCAACCGGAGAACAACUCCAUCAUCCAGCACUGCCAGCAUGGAUGGGUCUAUGACCACUCACAGUUCACCUCCACCAUCUCCACCCAGUGGGACCUUGUGUGCGAGCAGCGUGGACUGAACCAGGCAACCGCAACCUUCUUCUUCAUUGGUGUUACGAUGGGGGCUGUGGUAUUCGGAUACCUUUCAGACAGGUUCGGACGAAAAGCCAUGCUCCUGCUCUCACUUAUGUUCUCUAUCAUAUUUGGGAUGCUAAGCGCUGCCUCCGUCUCCUACAUCAUGAUGGCCAUCACACGGACCCUCACUGGGGUGGCCCUGAGCGGCGUCUCCCUUAUUGUAUUGCCUUUGGGGAUGGAGUGGGUGGACAUACAGCACCGCACCUUCUCUGCGAUCCUGACUAGCAUCUUCUGGAGCAUUGGGAACAUGCUGCUGGCCACAGUAGCGUACCUUGUGCGGGAAUGGCACUGGCUAUUAGUAGCUGUAACGGCACCUUGUCUCCUGAGUAUGGUCUGCCUGUGGUGGGUCCCAGAGUCUGCCCGAUGGCUCAUAGCCAACAACAAAGUGAAACAAGCUCACAGGAAUCUGCUUAGAUGUGCAAGAAUGAACGGAAGGAAAGACUUCACUGUCUCACAAGAGGCCCUCAGAAGGAUGACAACAGACAAAAAGCCAGGAGAGAGUUACUCCUACAUCAGCUUGUUCAGGACACCAGUCCUGCGGAAGAUCUCUCUGUGUUCUGGGGUUGUGUGGUUUGGUGUUGCCUUCUCUUAUUAUGGCAUGAGCCUGAACCUAACUGGCUUUGGGCUCAACAUGUACCUCUCCCAGUUUGUCUUUGGUGUCAUUGAGAUUCCAGCCAAGAUGAUCAUAUAUGUGCUGGUGAAUCGAGCUGGACGACGGCAGAGUCAGGCGUGGACACUCAUCCUGACUGGACUAUGCAUAGGAGCCAAUGUCAUCAUUCCCAAGCCCUUCACCUCCUUGCGCUCUGUAGUAGCUGUUAUGGGCAAAGGCUUCUCAGAAGCUGCAUUCACUACUGUCUACUUGUACACGUCAGAACUUUACCCCACGGUGCUGAGAAUGGGAUGGGGUACACCUCCUUCAUGGCACGUCUUGGCGGGGCUUUGGCCCCUCUUGUGUUUCUGCUGGAUGAGGUGUGGAGGUCUCUGCCUGAGGUGACAUACUGUGGAGUAGCUGUGUGCAGCGGCUCAGUGGCCUUCCUGCUCCCAGAGACACUCAACGUGCGCCUGCCCGAGGUCAUCGAGGACAUCGAGAAGACACAAGUGAAAAGACCACCACAAAACAGCACUCCCGAGGGCAUGCCACUACAGUCUCUGCUGAAGUGAGGGACUCUAUGGGACAGCCACAAUGCAGGACUGCAGACCUGAGCUGUGCUCUGACUGGCCAAUAAAAGAGCCUUUACUGCCCUCCAAGAUUCUUUCUGCUGGCAGGUCGGGCUGAGGACACUGGAGGAAAGAGGCAGAUCACAAAAACAACUGGAGGGGGCUAACCCCUCUCCAUAGUGUGGCCAGGAGCAAGAAUGCAGAGCUCUAACUGGGCGUGGAAAUAAAGGCAUCUUAUGCUAAGCUCUUCCAGUCUUUGGACUUGUUGGACUAGCAGCACCUUUUAUCCAGAAGCUGCAAUCUUUUGGUUUACAAACCACAAGAAAUGCAAUGCAGCAAUAAAAAAAUACUGAGUGUGAAUUGAACAAACCCAAGUAAUCUCAACUAACUGGAUGGUGGAUAAACCAUAAACCAGAGCUAUAAACAUGUCUUGAAUUUUUAAAUGGUCUGGACGUUUUUCACACUGAGGCUCAAAGCCAGCCAAAAGCACGUGCAGGUAUCUCACUGAGAAUGGGGUAACUGCAAGCAUUUGUCCCUGUACACAAAGAAUCAUAGAAUCAUAGAAUCAUAGAAUAGUUUGGGUUGGAAGAGACCUUAGAGAGCAUAUAAUUCCAACCCCCCUGGCAUAGGCAGGGACAAAUCCCACUAGAUCAGGCUGCCCAGGGCCCCAUCCAACCUUGCCUUGAACACCUCCAGGGGUGGGGCAACCACAACUUUCCUGGGCAAGCUGUGCCAAUGCCUCACCACCUUCACAGUGAAGAAAUUCCUCCUUAAGUCUAGU
RNA transcript from Cuculus canorus (common cuckoo), 2531 nucleotides. It is a transcript of the gene named solute carrier family 22 member 7, with no coding region annotated. The record is from RefSeq and is a predicted model, not a curated record. The transcript is spliced from 10 exons. NCBI's taxonomy places the organism in Eukaryota, Metazoa, Chordata, Aves, Cuculiformes, Cuculidae.